AUGUUCUGGUUGUGUUAUGUUGCCAUAUGUGCAGGUCGAGGAGGACCAAUCCUAGACAGCCACGUGGCUACAUUUCUCCCAAGCAAAGGAAACGGGAAGUUCCUUAAGAAAUUUGUUGGCCCUGUGAAUGUGUGGGUGGCAAGGAAGGAGGAUAAGCUCAAAGUGAAGGACGAGUACAUCAAUUAUAUGGAUAGGUCUGCCUAUAUGUUCCUGCUGUUUCCAUCCACUCUCCUCUUACUGAGAUGGUGGGUGUGGGAUGGGUGCCUUCCAGCAUUGACAGUUCAGGUGCACCAGGCUUGGUUAUUAUUCCUCUACACAAGUUUUGCUUUGCAGGAGAAUGUGUUGCUUGUAAAUGGAAGAGAUAUCCGUCCUUGGUGGAUAUACCAUCACUAUUUAGCAAUGCUAAUGGCUCUUGUUAGCCUUACAUGGGAGAUAAAGGGAUAGCCUGAUUGCUCGAGUAAGCAGAGUGGGGUACAACUUUUCUUGCGUUGGGCAAUCAUGCAAGGAAUUGCAAUGCAUCUACAUAAUAGGUACCAGCGUCAAAGAUUACGCACCCAAAUUGCUCUGGGAAAGGUGAGGCCUUCCUUUGAUUUAACAAGUUCAGGUUGCUUUUCAUCCUGUGAAGAUUCGUCCUUCCCUGACAUUCUUCAGUUUCCGGUGUUUAUAGUUGUUGAGGAAAAUUUUGUUACUCACUUUUUCAGGUAUGAUCUUUUGAUAGUAGAUUUCAUUUAG
RNAcentral lists this ribosomal RNA (732 nucleotides) under Triticum aestivum (bread wheat). Its description in RNAcentral is "partial small subunit ribosomal RNA". Lineage: Eukaryota; Viridiplantae; Streptophyta; Magnoliopsida; Poales; Poaceae. The record is from RNAcentral.